Molecule: unclassified non-coding RNA, 332 nt
Filed under: soil metagenome
Description: partial contains 5.8S ribosomal RNA, internal transcribed spacer 2, and large subunit ribosomal RNA
Rfam family: 5.8S ribosomal RNA (bases 1-120)
Source: RNAcentral
GAUGAAGAACGUAGCGAAAUGCGAUAAGUAGUGUGAAUUGCAGAAUUCAGUGAAUCAUCGAAUCUUUGAACGCACAUUGCGCCCUUUGGUAUUCCUUAGGGCAUGCCUGUUCGAGCGUCAUUUAAACCUUCAAGCUCAGCUUGGUGUUGGGUGACUGUCCGCUUCACCGCGGACUCGCCUCAAAAUUAUUGGCGGCCGGUACAUUGGCUUCGAGCGCAGCAGAAACGCGAACUCGGGCCCGUCGUAUUGGCUCCCAGAAGCUAUCUGCACAAUUUUGACCUCGGAUCAGGUAGGGAUACCCGCUGAACUUAAGCAUAUCAAUAAGCGGAGGA